RNAcentral lists this ribosomal RNA (464 nucleotides) under uncultured bacterium. RNAcentral describes it as "partial 16S ribosomal RNA". It matches the Rfam family "Bacterial small subunit ribosomal RNA", at positions 339 to 795 of the family's 1533-position model. The record is from RNAcentral.
CUACGGGGGGCUGCAGUGGGGAAUAUUGCACAAUGGGCGCAAGCCUGAUGCAGCCAUGCCGCGUGUAUGAAGAAGGCCUUCGGGUUGUAAAGUACUUUCAGCGGGGAGGAAGGGAGUAAAGUUAAUACCUUUGCUCAUUGACGUUACCCGCAGAAGAAGCACCGGCUAACUCCGUGCCAGCAGCCGCGGUAAUACGGAGGGUGCAAGCGUUAAUCGGAAUUACUGGGCGUAAAGCGCACGCAGGCGGUUUGUUAAGUCAGAUGUGAAAUCCCCGGGCUCAACCUGGGAACUGCAUCUGAUACUGGCAAGCUUGAGUCUCGUAGAGGGGGGUAGAAUUCCAGGUGUAGCGGUGAAAUGCUUAGAGAUCUGGAGGAAUACCGGUGGCGAAGGCUGCCCCCUGGACGAAGACUGACGCUCAGGUGCGAAAGCGUGGGGAGCAAACAGGAUUAGAUACCCCCGUAGUC